Molecule: ribosomal RNA, 253 nt
Filed under: uncultured bacterium
Lineage: Bacteria
Description: partial 16S ribosomal RNA
Rfam family: Bacterial small subunit ribosomal RNA
Source: RNAcentral
UACGGGGGGGGCAAGCGUUGUUCGGAAUUACUGGGCGUAAAGGGCUCGUAGGUGGCCAACUAAGUCAGACGUGAAAUCCCUCAGCUUAACUGGGGAACUGCGUCUGAUACUGGAUGGCUUGAGUUUGGGAGAGGGUCGCGGAAUUCCCGGUGUAGAGGUGAAAUUCGUAGAUAUCGGGAGGAACACCGGUGGCGAAGGCGGCGACCUGGGUAGAUACUGACGCUGAGGCGCGAAAGCGUGGGGAGCAAACAGG